Molecule: ribosomal RNA, 421 nt
Filed under: uncultured bacterium
Lineage: Bacteria
Description: bacterial SSU rRNA
Rfam family: Bacterial small subunit ribosomal RNA
Source: RNAcentral
GGCCCCGCACAAGCGGCGGAGCAUGCGGCUUAAUUCGAUGCAACCCGAAGAACCUUACCUGGGUUUGACAUCAUGGGAAAAACUGUAGAGAUACAGUGUGCGUAAGCGUCCAUGACAGGUGGUGCAUGGCUGUCGUCAGCUCGUGUCGUGAGAUGUUGGGUUAAGUCCCGCAACGAGCGCAACCCUCGUUCUAUGUUGCCAGCGGGUUAUGCCGGGGACUCAUAGGAGACUGCCGGGGACAACUCGGAGGAAGGUGAGGACGACGUCAAGUCAUCAUGGCCCUUACGUGUAGGGCUACACACGUGCUACAAUGGCCGGUACAAACGGUUGCGAACCCGCGAGGGAAGCUAAUCCGAGAAAGCCGGUCGUAGUCCGGAUUGGGGUCUGCAACUCGACCCCAUGAAGUCGGAAUCGCUAGUAA